GAUGAACGCUGGCGGCGUGCCUAAUACAUGCAAGUCGAGCGAACAGACGAGGAGCUUGCUCCUCUGACGUUAGCGGCGGACGGGUGAGUAACACGUGUAUAACCUACCUAUAAGACUGGGAUAACUUCGGGAAACCGGAGCUAAUACCGGAGAAUAUAUUGAACCGCAUGGUUCAAUAGUGAGAGACGGUUUUGCGGGCACUUAUAGCGGGAUCCGCGCCGCAUUAGCUAGUUGGUAGGGUAACGGCUUACCAAGGCAACGAGGCGUAGCCGACCGGUGAGAGUGAUCGGCGACCCUGGAACUGGGCCACGGUCCAGAGUCCUACGGGACGGCGCAGUCGCGAAUCUUACGCAACGGGCGGAAGCCUUACGGAGUGACGCCACGUGAGUGACGAAGGUCUUCGGUUCGUAAAACUCUGUUAUUAGGGAAGAACAACUGUCUACGUAAAUGUGCACGUAUUGACGGUACCUAAUCAGAAAGCCCCGGCUAACUACGUG
This 497-nucleotide ribosomal RNA is filed under the name uncultured bacterium. RNAcentral's name for it is "partial 16S ribosomal RNA". It matches the Rfam family "Bacterial small subunit ribosomal RNA", at positions 28 to 507 of the family's 1533-position model. The record is from RNAcentral.